AAAAACGCAGUCUGGGCUAAGCAAUUUACAUGUUAAAUACAAGAACACCUUAGCCCCCAUUGACCUAUUAUAUAUGGACUGCUAGUUGAUUCUCGUUUCCAUACAAAAUUUUUGAAAAUGUGGUUCAAUGAUUACUAGCGCCUGUGGAAGAAAGUGGUAAAUAGAACUCAGUUAGGGUAGCGACAUCUUCCGUCAGAUUGCUUGAACUACCAUUUUUGUGCAUAGAAACUAUGGCCAUCUACAUUUUUUUGCUAUAAAAAUCAGUAGCACCUGUCUUUUUUGAAGUCUACUUUUUGACGUUUUGGAAGAAAAGAAUUCUUUCAGAAAAAAAAUUAUUUUAAAAUGUUUGUGCGAAAAAAGUGAUUGCUUCUUGGAGCUACCAUUUGCAGUGAAAGAUAUCGUUUAAUGAAAAGACCAAUAAUCAUGAUGUUGAAGUUAUCCAUGGACUUUAAAGAUUCACUUCUUUUCAUCACAAUAGGUACACAACUUUUCAUGGUUUUUGAAUGUGAAAUGAUCACCCGUGGAAUGGUUAUUUGCUGCGUGACCUGCUAGCACAGAUGCCUUUGCUGUGAGGAAGUCAAUGUUAAGCAAGAAAUUGUUUUGGUAUUAAAAAAUCGAGAAAUUCAGUUUAAUGCACCUCUACGCAACUCUUCAAUAAACGAUUCAUUGCACCUAUAUGUGAAACGAGUUUUCUCAGUUCUAUCAUUUGAUCGUGGAGUACAAAUCAUUCUUCGAAAAGAGAAUACAAAAAAAUCUCAGUUUGUUCUCACGGUCAGAGAUUCAACGUUAAGUUAUGACUAUACCACAGCGUGCACAUCGUAUUAAUUUAGCGAAUCGUAUUGAAGCACUUCGCACAGGAGUAUGAAGUAGAUGAAAAUAUUAUAACAUAGCCCGGCCAAGAAGUCCUACGCACAUAUUUAUUCGAAACUGAUUUUUACUAUCCAUGCCUUUUUAUAUUUAAUAAAAAAACAAAACAAAAAUUAAAACGAAAAGUUACCUUAAU
Long non-coding RNA from Episyrphus balteatus (marmalade hoverfly), 1003 nucleotides. RefSeq lists it as uncharacterized. The transcript is spliced from 3 exons. NCBI's taxonomy places the organism in Eukaryota, Metazoa, Arthropoda, Insecta, Diptera, Syrphidae. The record is from RefSeq and is a predicted model, not a curated record.